GAUGAACGCUGGCGGCGUGCCUAAUACAUGCAAGUCGAGCGAACAGACGAGGAGCUUGCUCCUCUGACGUUAGCGGCAGACGGGUGAGUAACACGUGGAUAACCUACCUAUAAGACUGGGAUAACUUCGGGAAACCGGAGCUAAUACCGGAUAAUAUAUUGAACCGCAUGGUUCAAUAGUGAAAGACGGUUUUGCUGUCACUUAUAGAUGGAUCCGCGCCGCAUUAGCUAGUUGGUAAGGUAACGGCUUACCAAGGCAACGAUGCGUAGCCGACCUGAGAGGGUGAUCGGCCACACUGGAACUGAGACACGGUCCAGACUCCUACGGGAGGCAGCAGUAGGGAAUCUUCCGCAAUGGGCGAAAGCUUGACGGAGCAACGCCGCGUGAGUGAUGAAGGUCUUCGGAUCGUAAAACUCUGUUAUUAGGGAAGAACAAAUGUGUAAGUAACUAUGCACGUCUUGACGGUUCCUAAUCAGAAAGCCACGGCUAACUACGUG
This 497-nucleotide ribosomal RNA is filed under the name uncultured bacterium. RNAcentral describes it as "partial 16S ribosomal RNA". It matches the Rfam family "Bacterial small subunit ribosomal RNA", at positions 28 to 507 of the family's 1533-position model. The record is from RNAcentral.